GAUGAACGCUGGCGGCGUGCCUAAUACAUGCAAGUCGAGCGAACGGACGAGAAGCUUGCUUCUCUGAUGUUAGCGGCGGACGGGUGAGUAACACGUGGAUAACCUACCUAUAAGACUGGGAUAACUUCGGGAAACCGGAGCUAAUACCGGAUAAUAUUUUGAACCGCAUGGUUCAAAAGUGAAAGACGGUCUUGCUGUCACUUAUAGAUGGAUCCGCGCUGCAUUAGCUAGUUGGUAAGGUAACGGCUUACCAAGGCAACGAUGCAUAGCCGACCUGAGAGGGUGAUCGGCCACACUGGAACUGAGACACGGUCCAGACUCCUACGGGAGGCAGCAGUAGGGAAUCUUCCGCAAUGGGCGAAAGCCUGACGGAGCAACGCCGCGUGAGUGAUGAAGGUCUUCGGAUCGUAAAACUCUGUUAUUAGGGAAGAACAUAUGUGUAAGUAACUGUGCACAUCUUGACGGUACCCAAUCAGAAAACCACGGCUAACUACGU
This 496-nucleotide ribosomal RNA is filed under the name uncultured bacterium. RNAcentral's name for it is "partial 16S ribosomal RNA". It matches the Rfam family "Bacterial small subunit ribosomal RNA", at positions 28 to 506 of the family's 1533-position model. The record is from RNAcentral.